RNAcentral lists this ribosomal RNA (645 nucleotides) under Triticum aestivum (bread wheat). RNAcentral's name for it is "partial small subunit ribosomal RNA". The record is from RNAcentral. Lineage: Eukaryota; Viridiplantae; Streptophyta; Magnoliopsida; Poales; Poaceae.
AUGACAAGAAGAUAUUGGAACAUUAAUUUGAAAGAUAUGAGAGAAGCAGGAGUUCAUUUUGGUCAUGGUAUUAAGAAAUGGAAUCCUAAAAUGGCCCCUUACAUUUCGGCAAAGCGUAAAGGUACUCAUAUUAUAAAUCUCGCUAGAAUGGCUCAUUUUUUAUCAGAAGCUUGUGAUUUAGUUUUUGAUGCAGCAAGUCAGGGAAAAAGUUUCUUAAUUGUUGGUACCAAAAAAAGAGCAACAGAUUUAGUAGCAUCAGCUGCAAUAAGGGCUCGUUGUCAUUAUAUUAAUAAAAAGUGGUUCAAUGGUAUGUUAACGAAUUGGUCGAUUACGAAAACUAGACUUUCUCAAUUUAGAGACUUAAGAGCAGAAGAAAAAAUGGGAAAAUUCCACCAUCUCCCAAAAAGAGAUGUGGCAAUCUUGAAGAGAAAAUUAUCUACUUUGCAAAGGUAUCUCGGCGGGAUCAAAUAUAUGACGAGAUUGCCAGACAUUGUGAUCGUCCUUGAUCAGCAAAAAGAGUAUAUAGCUCUUCGGGAAUGUGCCAUUUUGGGGAUUCCUACUAUUUCUUUAGUCGAUACAAAUUGUGACCCGGAUCUCGCGAAUAUAUCGGUUCCAGCCAACGAUGACACUAUGACUUCAAUUUGA